RNAcentral lists this transfer RNA (92 nucleotides) under Erythranthe guttata (spotted monkey flower). RNAcentral's name for it is "Mimulus guttatus (spotted monkey flower) tRNA". It matches the Rfam family "tRNA". Rfam says of the family: Transfer RNA (tRNA) molecules are approximately 80 nucleotides in length. Their secondary structure includes four short double-helical elements and three loops (D, anti-codon, and T loops). Further hydrogen bonds mediate the characteristic L-shaped molecular structure. tRNAs have two regions of fundamental functional importance: the anti-codon, which is responsible for specific mRNA codon recognition, and the 3' end, to which the tRNAs corresponding amino acid is attached (by aminoacyl-tRNA synthetases). tRNAs cope with the degeneracy of the genetic code in two manners: having more than one tRNA (with a specific anti-codon) for a particular amino acid; and 'wobble' base-pairing, i.e. permitting non-standard base-pairing at the 3rd anti-codon position. The record is from Rfam by way of RNAcentral. Lineage: Eukaryota; Viridiplantae; Streptophyta; Magnoliopsida; Lamiales; Phrymaceae.
CCGACCUUAGCUCAGUUGGUAGAGCGGAGGACUGUAGUGGGUGCUGCCCGAUUGUUAUCCUUAGGUCGCUGGUUCGAAUCCGGCAGGUCGGA